ACAGGGAUUGCCCUAGUAACGGCGAGUGAAGCGGCAUCAGCUCAAAUUUGAAAUCUGGCUCUUUCAGAGUCCGAGUUGUAAUUUGCAGAGGGCGCUUUGGUGUCGGCAGCGGUCCAAGUUCCUUGGAACAGGACGUCACAGAGGGUGAGAAUCCCGUACGUGGUCGCUGACCUACACCGUGUAAAGCCCCUUCGACGAGUCGAGUUGUUUGGGAAUGCAGCUCUAAAUGGGAGGUAAAUUUCUUCUAAAGCUAAAUACUGGCCAGAGACCGAUAGCGCACAAGUAGAGUGAUCGAAAGAUGAAAAGCACUUUGGAAAGAGAGUUAAACAGCACGUGAAAUUGUUGAAAGGGAAGCGCUUGCAGCCAGACUUGCUUGCAGUUGCUCAUCCGGGCUUUUGCCCGGUGCACUCUUCUGCGAGCAGGCCAGCAUCAGUUUGGACGGUUGGAUAAAGGCCUCUGUCACGUACCUUCUCUCGGGAAGGCCUUAUAGGGGAGGCGUCAUGCAACCAGUCUGGACUGAGGUCCGCGCAUCUGCUAGGAUGCUGGCGUAAUGGCUGUAAGCGGCCCGUCUG
Molecule: ribosomal RNA, 572 nt
Filed under: Pyrenochaetopsis tabarestanensis
Lineage: Eukaryota; Fungi; Ascomycota; Dothideomycetes; Pleosporales; Pyrenochaetopsidaceae
Description: eukaryotic LSU rRNA
Rfam family: Eukaryotic large subunit ribosomal RNA
Source: RNAcentral